GACGAACGCUGGCGGCGUGCUUAACACAUGCAAGUCGAACGGAAAGGCCCUGCUUUUGUGGGGUGCUCGAGUGGCGAACGGGUGAGUAACACGUGAGUAACCUGCCCUUGACUUUGGGAUAACUUCAGGAAACUGGGGCUAAUACCGGAUAGGAGCUCCUGCUGCAUGGUGGGGGUUGGAAAGUUUCGGCGGUUGGGGAUGGACUCGCGGCUUAUCAGCUUGUUGGUGGGGUAGUGGCUUACCAAGGCUUUGACGGGUAGCCGGCCUGAGAGGGUGACCGGACACCUGGGGACGGAGACAGGGCCGAGACACCCUCGGGGGGGAGGAGGGGGGAAAGGAUAAAAAGGGGCGGGGGCCAGAUGGAUGAACCCCGGGUGGGGGAGGGCGGCUUUCGGGUGGUAAACCGAUUUCGCCUGGGACGAAGGGUGAGGGAGGGAAAUGGGUAAAAAACCACCGCUAAAUUAGGG
RNAcentral lists this ribosomal RNA (467 nucleotides) under uncultured bacterium. RNAcentral's name for it is "partial 16S ribosomal RNA". It matches the Rfam family "Bacterial small subunit ribosomal RNA", at positions 28 to 507 of the family's 1533-position model. The record is from RNAcentral.